CGAAAGCCUGACAGAGCAAUACCACGUGAAGGACGAAGGCCUAUGGGUUGUAAACUUCUUUUCUCAAGGAGGAAGAAUGACGUUACUUGAGGAAUAAGCAUCGGCUAACCCUGUGCCAGCAGCCGCGGUAAUACAGGGGAUGCAAGUGUUAUCCGGAAUUAUUGGGCGUAAAGCGUCUGCAGGUUGGCAUUUAAGUCUUUUGUUAAAUCUCUAGGCCUAACCUAGAAUCCGCAAAAGAAACUAUAUGUCUUGAGUAUGGUAGAGGUAAAGGGAAUUUCCAGUGGAGCGGUGAAAUGCGUAGAGAUUGGAAAGAACACCAACGGCGAAGGCACUUUACUGG
Molecule: ribosomal RNA, 340 nt
Filed under: uncultured Ochromonas
Lineage: Eukaryota; Chrysophyceae; Chromulinales; Chromulinaceae
Description: bacterial SSU rRNA
Rfam family: Bacterial small subunit ribosomal RNA
Source: RNAcentral